Molecule: ribosomal RNA, 499 nt
Filed under: uncultured bacterium
Lineage: Bacteria
Description: bacterial SSU rRNA
Rfam family: Bacterial small subunit ribosomal RNA
Source: RNAcentral
GACGAACGCUGGCGGCGUGCCUAAUACAUGCAAGUCGAGCGGAAUGAUGAAGAAGCUUGCUUCUUCUGAUUUUAGCGGCGGACGGGUGAGUAACACGUGGGCAACCUACCUUGUAGAUUGGGAUAACUCCGGGAAACCGGGGCUAAUACCGAAUAAUCCAUUUUGCUUCAUGGCGAGAUGUUGAAAGACGGUUUCGGCUGUCACUAUAAGAUGGGCCCGCGGCGCAUUAGCUAGUUGGUAGGGUAAUGGCCUACCAAGGCGACGAUGCGUAGCCGACCUGAGAGGGUGAUCGGCCACACUGGACUGAGACACGGCCCAGACUCCUACGGGAGGCAGCAGUAGGGAAUCUUCCACAAUGGACGAAAGUCUGAUGGAGCAACGCCGCGUGAGUGAAGAAGGUUUUCGGAUCGUAAAACUCUGUUGUAAGGGAAGAACACGUACGAGAGUAACUGCUCGUACCUUGACGGUACCUUAUUAGAAAGCCACGGCUAACUACGUG